CCACAUCCUGUGCUUAUGCUGGUGACC
Molecule: small RNA, 27 nt
Filed under: Bombyx mori (domestic silkworm)
Lineage: Eukaryota; Metazoa; Arthropoda; Insecta; Lepidoptera; Bombycidae
Description: ovarian small RNA-13493
Source: RNAcentral